RNAcentral lists this long non-coding RNA (1707 nucleotides) under Nicotiana benthamiana. RNAcentral's name for it is "long non-coding RNA (NBEN_LNC029404)". Lineage: Eukaryota; Viridiplantae; Streptophyta; Magnoliopsida; Solanales; Solanaceae. The record is from RNAcentral.
CAAUCUCAAGAACCCAAGCUUAACUUUAGUCCCAAUAAGCUUUCAAUGUUACUAACAAUUCAUAUCCUACAGAAUAUAAUACAUCAAACUCAAAACUCAUCAAAAACAAAAAAACAAAAACUAAGCCACUGAACACAAUAAUUCGAAUUUUUGCUUGAAUUUCCAAUUUCAUUUCAUACUUUAACCAUUCUUCACAUGAGAUAGGAUUCAAGAACAAGUACCUGGAAAUGGAAAAAAGGAGGAUAGAGAUGAAGCAUCAGUAAACAACAACAGACCAACAAUCAGUGGUAAUAGAAAAUCCGCCCAGAUUAAGCCAAAACCAGAAAUGAUAUCUAUCCAGAAGAAGAAAAUCCAUCAACCAACUUAAACCAGAUUUUUACUAGCCAAGUUCAAACCAUCUUCUACCUCAAAUAGGAUCAAAUAUCGUUCAGAGAAUGAGAAAUUUUGAAAUUCAAAAUAGAAAUCUCAAUGAAAUUGUAUUUUUCCAAAUUUUCCGUUUGUGAUUUUUUUAGAAUUUUCUAUCUCAGGUCUGCCUUGAAUGGCAAGAUAGGGUGCCUUUAUAGGCAAGGGAAGUAGGGCAACCCGGACAACUUGAUUUUGCAGUUAGGCCCUUUUCCAAUUUUUGUUUUUGCCUAGAUAGCCUAAGGUAAUUAUUAGAUUUUCAACAACAAUCCAAAAGCCAGCUUCUCAGAAGCUUCUUGGGCAAUUACCUAAGAUUCCCUUAGGCUAAACUACCCAAAUUACCCUGUAAUCCCGCACUAUUUACCCUCCCCUCAAAAACAAGUAUGGGCUUAAGUGAAAUGCAUACAGGCCUAAGCCGUGCGGGCUACCAGAAUUUCUCUCCUUCCCUACUCUGGGCUUCCUUUAUACAAAGACCAAACAAAAUUAAAGAAACAAGGCAACGCAGUUUCGGAGAAUAAGAUGAUGAAAACCAGAACAAUUCCAAAGUUGUGAACAAUGAAACUUCAAACACUAACAAAAAAAUGAAAAGGCACAAACAGAAAAGAAAAAGAAAUCAUCAUGAACAAAUAUUGAUUUUCCAAACUGACGAUAUUGAUUUAUGACACAAGAACUGCUGUGUGAAACCAAACUAAGAGGGCAAGCAACGAAAUAAGAAAAGACUAGAAACUAUAGUAAAGAAGGGAAAUAUGUACUUGGAUUUACCAUAGAAUUGACGACUCAGCGAAAUCGAUGACUAAGGAGGAUCCAGUAAAAGGUGAGAAUUGUAACAUGGGCAUUAACCGGAAUUUCUUCGACGGCUAAUGCUCCGUAUCACAAUCCUCAACACCUACUCUGAAAUAAGGAUGAGAGACUUAAAACACGGAUUGCUUGACCAAUUGGUUUCCAUGACGAGCCUUGAAAUUGAUUAAAUAACUAGCCAAUCCGACGUGAUAUCACCAUAAAGAAACAAAUGAGGGAAAAGAUCAAAGAUAGAAAACCGCCACAAAUUUCUGUCUUCCAAGAUUUGAAUUUCACGAGAAUCGAGUGACUUUUGGAGAGAAUUCGUGGUGGAUUUGGAAUGAAGAGGCAGCAAGGACUAUCUGGUCAAGUUUCAGUGGAGUUUAGGGAUCAACCACUAGCGAAUAUGGCAGAAUCGCUCAGGGGAGGCGUUACUUGGUGAUGGAGAUGAGAGAAGGGGAUUCGUUUGGUCUUAGGUUAAAUGAGCGACUUUCAGACACUUUUAUUUGAUAUGGGGAAAGGUUUUUU